RNAcentral lists this ribosomal RNA (253 nucleotides) under uncultured bacterium. RNAcentral's name for it is "partial 16S ribosomal RNA". It matches the Rfam family "Bacterial small subunit ribosomal RNA", at positions 524 to 776 of the family's 1533-position model. The record is from RNAcentral.
UACGUAGGUGGCAAGCGUUGUCCGGAUUUACUGGGCGUAAAGAGCGCGCAGGCGGUCGUUCAAGUCGCGUGUGAAAGCCCCCGGCUCAACUGGGGAGGGUCACGCGAUACUGAUCGACUCGAAGGCAGGAGAGGGAAGUGGAAUUCCCGGUGUAGUGGUGAAAUGCGUAGAUAUCGGGAGGAACACCAGUGGCGAAGGCGACUUCCUGGCCUGUUCUUGACGCUGAGGCGCGAAAGCGUGGGGAGCGAUCCGG